This 497-nucleotide ribosomal RNA is filed under the name uncultured bacterium. RNAcentral's name for it is "partial 16S ribosomal RNA". It matches the Rfam family "Bacterial small subunit ribosomal RNA", at positions 28 to 507 of the family's 1533-position model. The record is from RNAcentral.
GAUGAACGCUGGCGGCGUGCCUAAUACAUGCAAGUCGAGCGAACAGACGAGGAGCUUGCUCCUUUGACGUUAGCGGCGGACGGGUGAGUAACACGUAGGUAACCUACCUAUAAGACUGGGAUAACUUCGGGAAACCGGAGCUAAUACCGGAUAAUAUUUCGAACCGCAUGGUUCGAUAGUGAAAGAUGGCUUUGCUAUCACUUAUAGAUGGACCUGCGCCGUAUUAGCUAGUUGGUAAGGUAACGGCUUACCAAGGCAACGAUACGUAGCCGACCUGAGAGGGUGAUCGGCCACACUGGAACUGAGACACGGUCCAGACUCCUACGGGAGGCGGCAGUAGGGAAUCUUCCGCAAUGGGCGAAAGCCUGACGGAGCAACGCCGCGUGAGUGAUGAAGGUCUUCGGAUCGUAAAACUCUGUUAUUAGGGAAGAACAAACGUGUAAGUAACUGUGCACGUCUUGACGGUACCUAAUCAGAAAGCCACGGCUAACUACGUG